AACGAACGCUGGCGGCAUGCCUAACACAUGCAAGUCGAACGCCCCGCAAGGGGAGUGGCGAACGGGUGAGUAACACGUGGGAACCUACCCAGCAGUUGGGGAUAACCGCGGGAAACUGCGGCUAAUACCGAAUACGUCCUAAGGGAGAAAGAUUUAUCGCUGUUGGAGGGGCCAGCGUCGUAUUAGCUAGUUGGUGAGGUAACGGAUCACCAAGGCGACGAUCCGUAGCUGGUCUGAGAGGAUGAUCAGCCACACUGGGACUUAGACACGGCCCAGACUCCUACAGGAGGCAGCAGUGGGGAAUAUUGGACAAUGGGGGCAACCCUGAUCCAGCAAUGCCGCGUGAGUGAUGAAGGCCUUAGGGUUGUAAAGCUCUUUUACCGGGGACGAUGAUGACGGUACCCGGAGAAUAAGCCCCGGCUAACUUCGUGCCAGCCGCCGCAGUAA
RNAcentral lists this ribosomal RNA (447 nucleotides) under uncultured bacterium. RNAcentral describes it as "partial 16S ribosomal RNA". It matches the Rfam family "Bacterial small subunit ribosomal RNA", at positions 29 to 523 of the family's 1533-position model. The record is from RNAcentral.